UUAAAGUUCUGUGAGCAGAAGGAAAACACCUGUGUAAAUGUAGCCUACAUAGAACAGCUUGCCACUGAGGUGGCAGGUGAUUUUACCAGCAUUUGCAGACAAUCUCUAGUUCACCAGCUGUUGUAUGCUUCAAUGCACAUCAAGCCUACUCAUCUUAAUUGGUAACUGCAGGCAGAAUAACUUGUAUACUACAGCUAUCAUCAUG
Non-coding RNA from Pelobates cultripes (western spadefoot toad), 205 nucleotides. The record is from the annotation of a GenBank genome assembly. NCBI's taxonomy places the organism in Eukaryota, Metazoa, Chordata, Amphibia, Anura, Pelobatidae.